This 36-nucleotide transfer RNA is filed under the name Thamnophis gigas. RNAcentral describes it as "partial tRNA-Leu". The record is from RNAcentral. Lineage: Eukaryota; Metazoa; Chordata; Lepidosauria; Squamata; Natricidae.
CCAAAGGAUAAUAGUAUUCCACUGGUCUUAGGCACC